GGCACUGAGACCUGCUGGCAGAGAACAGCCCAUGCCCAUUCCAUUAAUCUCUCUUGCAGUCCCAUGUGGGGUGCCCCUUGCCAGAGUUUCUGUUGAGAAUGCUCUUGCUAACUCUCAGACUGUGCCCUGGAGUUACUGAGAAGUUACCAGACACUGAAGAAAAAUAACUCUGUCCCAGCCAAAAUGAAGACACUUCUAAAAGAUGCCUUGAGUCAUGUUUUUAAGGUGCCUGACUAAGCAAGCUGAGCACCAGGUAAGGAGAUCUUUUUAAUUGACAUCACAAGCAGGUGUCUUGCCAGAUGGAGGACUUUGAGAGGUUGUGAUGUCUUUCUUAAUGGGAUAACUGGUUCAUUAUUCAGGGAUCUUGAUGAAGACAAGAAGCCCUAUUUUGUUUCAAAAAGUUUGAGUAGUGGCGCAUACAUACAGUUGCACGACAGAAGCUGGACUCUCACGGAAUCUGCAGAGGAAUUUAUCAUAUUCUCACUGGAGGGUUCGAAGUGAGUGAACAACUGUGUUGUGUUCAGCUGCUUAUUGUGUUAAACCAUGACAUAAAAGAAAAUACAAGAAGGGUGAGAUCCAAAUGACUUCGAGAAUUCUAUAGGCAGAUGUUUGCAGAAAUUUGAUCACAGAAACUUUGAAGAAAAGCAUUUAUAGAAAACAAGAACACACAGAACCAUCAGAUUGUGUCUCAAGUCAAGGCAAGUCUGGAAUUCUACCCUGAACUUUUCUUCAAAAUUCAUCAUAGCAAGACUAUGGCUAUGCACAGUGUAUUAUCUAGUAUUUACAUAGUUAUUUUGGUGCAGUUUUUACUUAGUUUUGCAGUGUGUAGAAAGCCAAGAUAUUUUGGAAAUGGUAUAACUUAACACAAGCCUUUCCAAGAUGACAUCAAAGUGAGUCUUAUUUUCAGUAUUUUCUCAUUUAAUGCAAUAUAAAAGAAAGGAAAAAUUUGUGAUUUUAGUCUAAAAGUAAUAUUCAGGGAGAAGGAAGUAUCUACAUGCUGAUUUCUUUGACCAAAAUGCAGAACAUAUUUAACCAGAUGCAAGAAAAAAAGGGGAAGCUUUGACCCAGUUUAAGAGCUAAGAAAAGCCUCUACUAACUCAGAGGAAACAGAAUUUCACCUUGUCUCUUAAAGGACAGAGAUAAAUGGUUGCUCAAAGAGACCAAAUAUCGAAGUGAUAACUCUUGUGAAUGUAAACUGCAUACACACACCACAUGAGUCCUGACUCCAAGAAUAAGGAACUGAGCAUCACUUGUGUUGUAACACACUUAUGGACAAUCAUUUAAGGAAAAAAAUCUUGUGGUCAGAACACUUUAAAAUUACUCGUUGAGGAAGAAACAUGAACUGCCUAUGCUAAUUUUCUAUCCUAGAUAUUGCAGUUCAAGAAGGAAAAGAAAACUUUCAGAGAAAAUCAUAUAUUUCUAUGAUCUGGAAUCAAGCAUAACAAAUCUAGGAAAUUAUUUGCAUUCCAAGCACUGCAAGCCUUUCUAACUCAGUGGAAACAGAAGCUAAAUGAUGGUGAUGUUUUUGGAUUGAUUUGUUUUGGUCUCAGCAUCAUUUCCAGGCUAACAGAGAUUGCUCUCUAUCUACUGUCCUUAGAUCUGAAGCAGGGAGCCAAAGAGUGUUUCUUCAGACCUUGAUGAGAAUUUUAGUAUCUGAAGUAAAAGUAAGUGCAUAAAAUGAUUUCAUUGGCUCACAUGAAUUGGGUACAUACAACUGAAUUACCAGCAUCUUUUUUUGUGCUGCCAAUAUCUCUUCUUUGAACCGUGCAUACAUAUAAUUGGCCUUUACAGUUCAAAAGAUUGAUAUUUAGGACUUGUGGUGUCUCUAUGAGUACAUCUGGCUUGUACAGCAACAUCUCAUUUUAUCUUCUUUACUACUUUAAAAUCUCAUGCAAUGUUUCUUAAUAACUGUAAUAAAGUGACUCUGCAUAAAAAGACAAUAAAAGAACAUUCUGCCAGAAAACA
Long non-coding RNA from Centrocercus urophasianus (Greater sage-grouse), 1965 nucleotides. RefSeq lists it as uncharacterized. The record is from RefSeq and is a predicted model, not a curated record. NCBI's taxonomy places the organism in Eukaryota, Metazoa, Chordata, Aves, Galliformes, Phasianidae. The transcript has 6 exons.